GACGAACGCUGGCGGCGUGCUUAACACAUGCAAGUCGAACGGAAAGGCCCUUCGGGGUACUCGAGUGGCGAACGGGUGAGUAACACGUGGGUGAUCUGCCCUGCACUUUGGGAUAAGCCUGGGAAACUGGGUCUAAUACCGAAUAGGACCACGCGCUUCAUGGUGUGUGGUGGAAAGCUUUUGCGGUGUGGGAUGGGCCCGCGGCCUAUCAGCUUGUUGGUGGGGUAAUGGCCUACCAAGGCGACGACGGGUAGCCGGCCUGAGAGGGUGACCGGCCACACUGGGACUGAGAUACGGCCUAGACUCCUACGGGAGGCAGCAGUGGGGAAUAUUGCACAAUGGGCGCAAGCCUGAUGCAGCGACGCCGCGUGAGGGAUGACGGCCUUCGGGUUGUAAACCUCUUUCAAUAGGGACGAAGCGCAAGUGACGGUACCUAUAGAAGAAGCACCGGCCAACUACGUG
Molecule: ribosomal RNA, 462 nt
Filed under: uncultured bacterium
Lineage: Bacteria
Description: partial 16S ribosomal RNA
Rfam family: Bacterial small subunit ribosomal RNA
Source: RNAcentral